This 62-nucleotide small RNA is filed under the name Salmonella enterica subsp. enterica serovar Typhi. Its description in RNAcentral is "StyR-215". Lineage: Bacteria; Pseudomonadati; Pseudomonadota; Gammaproteobacteria; Enterobacterales; Enterobacteriaceae. The record is from RNAcentral.
CUCGCGACGGUGAGCUGAAAGCCGCGUCGCACCUGCUCUUUAACAAUUUAUCAGACAAUCUG